This is a non-coding RNA of Acanthosepion pharaonis, 98 nucleotides long. NCBI's taxonomy places the organism in Eukaryota, Metazoa, Mollusca, Cephalopoda, Sepiida, Sepiidae. The record is from the annotation of a GenBank genome assembly.
UCACAUCCAGUUGAAACACUGGUUCCAAUAUGAACACCAAAGUUAAGCAACAUUGAGCCUGGUAAGUACCUAGAUGGAUGACCCCUUGGGAAUACCAG